GACUUUUAAGAGGAGAAUGUCAGCAGUCUUGGAGGCAAUUCAGUUUGUCCAUCGUGGAUGGAAACAGAUGCUUAUGCCUAAUAAGCUUAUGCUUAGUAGCCGUAUGGAAAGGCUAAUAAACUCACCAUCAUUUGGCAUCAGACUACAAAAAGAGAGUAAAGGGUUUUGAAACUGCACACACCUAUUCUGUAGCCCACAAAACUUCCCCUCCAUGGCUUAAACUGGCUGAAAAAUACCUCAGUAUGUGUUUCAAAUGCAUUUUCCAGCUUCUCCAGGAAAAAAAAAAAUUAAUGUGCAGGUUGCCUGGGAAGAGGUGGCUACAGGAGCAGAGUCUUAUUCUUCUGCCACCUUCUGUUUUCUCUAAAACCAUCUGCAGAUGCAGAUGCUCCUCUGUGGGGCAAGGCUGCCAUCACCCAUCCCGGGCUUUGCUGAGGGCAUAGUAUGUGCUGCUUCUUGUGAAUUACACCAGUGCACUCGCAAUGUGGAGAGGGUCCUUGAAUUUAUAGUAUCUGUUCAGGCUUCUGGAUAAGCAGAGAAGGUGAAGAUCAUCAUAUCUACCAGCUGGGAAAAGAGCAUUGGGAAGGUUUCCCAAGCUGUGUUCUGCCACACAAUGAAUGAUUUUUUUUAAUUUCAGAAACAUAACUAGCAAAAUUUGGUUUGAGGAAGAGAGAGAAGUUCAGUCAGACAUUGUUUUGCAAGAUCAACAAUUUCAUAUAUAUCCAAAUGGAACUGCUUCCAUUAAGAAGAUCCCCAAAUAUACUGAUUUCCACAGUAGGCAAGGAAAUCCUAAUAGUGAAUGCAAUGACAUCAAAGACAGCCUAUUACUUGUGUUUAUAAUUAAUGUGAUCUUGGUGAAGCAGUGAUGAGUGGAUAUUUACUGCCUCUUAUUCCAAACAACAGUGGUACCUAGGUUUUUGAUCCCACAUCCAUAACACAUUGGAAGGGAGGGAAAAUUGCAAAAUAGUGGCUAGUAUAAAAUGCCUCCAUCCAAACAAGGCUGUGAACAUACGGUCUGAUGUUCAGAGGUGAAAAAGCACCAACAGUUUCCAUUUCAUCACUUUUAAAAUCAGAUCACUUGCUCAGAUACUGCUGUGAUUGAUAAUUCUAGUGUUUGCUUCACAAAUGUUCAGGCUCUCACCUCUGUGAAGAAUAUCCAGGACUAGGAAAGAAGGUUCGGCCUACACUGCAUCUGAAUGAAGUGGAGCUCACACUGUGGCACUGAUUAUUUCAGGUCUGUGGAAUUGAAGAGAGCUCUCUCUCGCCACACGCGGUAUCAGCUUUCACUCAAAACCCUCCCAAAUGGUAAAAACUUUUGACUUGAUUGCAGCCGCUAGAACAGGAUUAAAUGGAUAACCGGGGUAUGAACUGAGAUCCCUUUGACUCUGAAGAGACCCUCGAGCAAUGAUUCAAAACUACAUGAACUUUCAACUUCAGUUCACUCAGGGCCAUGGGGUCUUCAGUUGUAAGCUGUGUUUUUCCAAGCUUUUUUUUCUUUCUUUCCUUCUUUUUCUUUUGCUACAAGGUUCAUUAUUUUGCAGAGGAUGGGUCUUUCUGCCCUGCAGGGAUCUAUCUAUCACUGCUGACUCUCUGCAUCUUCUCCACAUGGAAGAAGUAAUUGGAUUGUAUUUUCUGCACACGACCAAGACAGCAGGGAAACCCAGAGCUGUAAGCCAGAGAACCAAGCUGCAUAGAGGGCAAGGAAGUACCUGAUGCUCAAGAAAUCUGAAUGCCUGGGUCUAACUACAAAAUCUUUCCUUUCUUUGCAUGAAGGAGCUGAGCCAUGCUGAACUAUAUUCACCAGACUGCUCAGGAAAGUGAACUCUUCAAGGACCAGUGAAAAACGUAAACACCCAAAUAAUCCUUCAAAAAUGCAGCCCAGGGUCAUUAAAUCCUGUGACUAUACAAAACAAUAAGUAUGCUGUGGGAUGCUAACCAUACAGGAGAUUUCUUAAAGUUACAGUGCAAUUACUGCAAAAUCCAGUGGCUUUUUUACACUGCCAGGGCCUCCAUGUGCUACCACAUGGCUGAUGUAUAUGGUUAUUCAGGAGCAACAGCAACACCUCAGCGAAGACAAAAAGGCAAAAAAAAGCGCCCUUAUUUAAUUAUUUUUCCAGCUAGCAUUUUAUUUGUUAUUAUAAUGCUCCAAAAUGCUAUUUUGUACUCUUAAACACUGUGCUGUUUUUUUUCUAACACCACCAAAAUCCUGACAUUAUUAUAUUUGUGGAAAGCGAUGGGAUUGCCAAGGCUUUAUGCUGUUAGUCUUUAAGAGUUUAGUAGAUGUAUUACUUUCCUUCAAAUGAAUGCCUGCUUGUCAUUGUCAGUCGUCUGCUGUUUGUCCCUCCCCCCACCUCCUUAGAUCCAAGCCUAAAAAAAGAAUCUCUUUGGAGCUUGAUGUGUUGCUUGUAGCAAUGUUAGAGAAACUGUACUAUUCUGGGAACACUCAGGCUCCUCCAAACAGCUCUUCCAGCAGUAACACCAUGGUUUUCAUCUCUGCCUUAGUCUCCUAUUAAGCCCCACCAGCCAAAUUCCAGGUGCCACAGGGAAGGAACUGCACUACACCAGAAUGUCACCCCCAAACUUGACUCAUCAUCAUCAUCAUCAUCAUCAUCAGGUUUCCCAUGCAGGCUGAUUUGUGCAUUUCUCUUCAAGAAAUAUUUUAUCAACCUUGACUGGAAUAAAAGCACUGACACGGAGAGAAGACAGUCUGCUAUUAUUUUCCACUUAUAAAGAACACAAAUCUGCAUGAUGAGCCAAAUGCUCCUAUUGCAAAGAUUAUUUGUCACAUGAAAUAGAUAAAACAGCAGAAAGAACCCAUUCCUGGAAUUUAUGAGGAAAAAAUUUUUCUUUAGAGCAGAAAAACACCACCAUUGUCCCACUCAGCAUAUUAACACUCACAGUAGUGAUGGCAGUUGAAAAAAUGUGGGGGAGGAUAUGAUUAAAUAAGUAUUUCUUAAAUAGUUUUGGAGUGUGCAAGCUGAUAUUUUGGAACAAUAACAGAGAACGUACAAUGUUCUGAGCUGUCAGAGUUUCUGAGGGGGCAGAUUCAAAGGUCUUGCGUCACUGAAUGCCUCGCAAUCUCCAGAUUAAUGGAAGGGGAGCAAUGGGACAGGGUGUUGUACUUGCAAGCUGGAUGAGUUAUGAUUUGUUUUCUUUUUUUGUUUUUUGAAGAACAUAAAUAAUUUAAAUGCUGCUGUCAUGCAAAACUAAAAUUACACAGUACCAUACACAGAUUUCUUACGAAUAAUAUGAGCUGGUGCAUGUAUACAUGCAGGUAUUUGUGUUGUAAUUUAAAACAUAAUAUCACCUCAAGCUAAAUAAGUUUAGAAAACUUCUCUGAGAGAAAUUCUUUACCUCAGGAAGAGGAUCUAUGUUCAUGAAAAUCAAUGUGGCAGACAGAAAUAGCAUUUAAACCUUUACUAGCAAGAUAUGACACAUCAAAGGAGUUAAAUUGAUCUUCCAGCCUUCUGUCCCAAAUAUUGCUGCAGCAAGAUGAGCCUCCUUUUCUUUGUGCUGACAGCUACACAAUGUUCCUGUUCCUCUCAGCGUAGAUUGCAUGCUGUCUUUGCCACCACCCUCUCUCCAUCGCCAGACAUCUGAGCCACAGUUGAAGAUUUGGGUAAAAGGAGCAGUUUUGCAUGGACAGUGAAGCUGUGAAACCAGUGAAACCCAAGAAAUGUGGACCCUAAGCUUGUGAGCAGCCACAGACACUGGGAUUUCGGCUGGGCCUGGGCCUCACCAGCAUGCCUAAUGAUGUCAUCAGGACGAAGGACGUGGGGAGAAUGAGCUGUCCCACACCCAGAAGUGAAACCAUGCCAGUACAAAGAUCAAAACCAAAAGUGACUGCACCUCAGACAAAGAAGGAGAGGGGAAGUUGUUGAGGUCUCCACACAGAUGUCUGAUUACAGUUCCACCAAGGUGUAUUUGGAACUGUGUCACAGCUCUGCUUCUUCUCCCCAGUGCCUGUGGAGGCAGCUUCCAGCAUGACACAUCCCAUCUUUGACUCAUCAGAAGACAUGCUUCAAUUCAGCUAGAAAACAAGAACUUAAGGAAAGCUUGAAAAUCUGUGGCAAGCCUAUAAGGACUGAUGUAUGACAUGACUGUAAAGUUUAAUUCUAGACUGAAAAUCAAUGAUUAGACAAAGAUUCAUAUUUCUGGGAAAACAAAGACAUAAAUCUACAGCCAUUUUGAUGAACGAUGUGCAGAUUUCUCCUGGGGAACACGCAAAGAAGGCCCACACCUACGGAAAGGCUGUCCCAAGAUUAUGUCACCUACAUGUAUCAUGAAGGAAUUUUCUUCUUGGCUGCUCAGAGGAGGAUUUUUAACAUUUGCCUCCCAUUUACUCCACAACAUUUCAUUGCUGAGUAACUUGUACUACUUCACACCAUUUUAAUUUGAUGGCAUGUACGAGUAAUGCAGAGACCUUUCUUUCCUCAGGGAAAUUAAGAAAAUAAUUCAUUCUUUCACCCAGUAACUCAACUGAAUUCAAUUUGGGUUCAUUCUUUCAGGAAAGGUGUUUACCUAGUUUUGUCAAAUUAAAAUAUGGGAGGAAAAAUGUCAAUAAUACUGACCAUUUUGUCAUCACAAUUGUUAGUUCUUUCAUGCCAUGCUUCCUCCAAGAGAAUUUUAUUUUGCAGAGGGAAAAACUAACUUAAAGUCUUAGAAGGCUUAAGUCGCAUCUGUAAUUUCUGCAUAUUACUAAAUACUACCAUACACUAUGUACAUGGAACAAAACUUCAGCAAACCAGUUUUCACACUGAUUUGGGGUAAGAUUUUAAUUCUAAUUUUUUUUCUUACAUUUACUUCAAUGUAUAUUUGCCAGAUGAAUUGUAUGCACAGAAAAAGGUGUAAUAAAAGGGCAGGAGUAUCAGCUGCAUUAUGUGGCCCAAAGAGACAGAGCAAAAACAUUAUUUGGAAAUUUGUGUGUCACAGGGCCCUGCGGGCAGCUGCUGAUCUUAUUCCUGUCCCUUCCAUGGGGUUGUUAACACAAGGACACAUGAGGGAAUGGCUGAGGACUGGGGAGGCCGUGACCAAAGUGAAUAUUGAUUCUCUUUUUCCUUGGUGUGGCUGCUUGUGUAGAGCACAUCGAUCAGUAGUGCAGCCUGAGAGAAGGCUGAAUGAAUUAAUGGAAGAGAGAACCCUCUCAGAGCUACUGAGUACACAGAAAAUCAGCCUGGCUUGGGGUGUGCCUGGGCUGCAAGUACUUUGCAGGGGAGAGGAGAGGCUGCUUACGAUUCUCCGGUCUCACGCUCCUCGUUCCAACAUCAGCUUUUGGGCGUUAGCAUUAGCUGGUUUAUUUCAUUAUGCUUUUAUUUACUGUUGGCAGGAGAGGAGGACUGGAAGCUGCCCAGAGUGCUGGCUGCAGCCACUGAGAGACCUCUCUUUCCCCAGGGCUGGCUGCAGCACAGAAUUGAUGGGUGCUGAGUAAGUGUGUUUCAUAUCCAGGGCAAAUUUUCCAGAGUGCCUAAAUGGCUUGAAACUGCAGGUUCUGUUGGCCAUGAUCAAGUAACUUGCUUGGGAAACUGCUUCCAGUUAGCUUUGUCUCUUUUUGUCUCUCUCCCUGCAUUUGUGCAUUUUCAAUUAUGCAGAAAUAUAUCAUUUAGCUCCACCUCCCUUUAUGUAAGCAGGCAAGGAACAGCGAGCUUCAAAACUGCAGAAUACCUUGAAAUCUUUUAACUUCAACCAUUCCGUCUCUGAUGGAAAAACAUGUAUUACCUUUUUAAUUCUCAGUCACUCUAACUGGU
Long non-coding RNA from Prinia subflava (tawny-flanked prinia), 5741 nucleotides. RefSeq lists it as uncharacterized. The record is from RefSeq and is a predicted model, not a curated record. The transcript is spliced from 3 exons. NCBI's taxonomy places the organism in Eukaryota, Metazoa, Chordata, Aves, Passeriformes, Cisticolidae.